Etheostoma cragini (Arkansas darter) is the source of this 238-nucleotide long non-coding RNA. RefSeq lists it as uncharacterized. The transcript has 3 exons. NCBI's taxonomy places the organism in Eukaryota, Metazoa, Chordata, Actinopteri, Perciformes, Percidae. The record is from RefSeq and is a predicted model, not a curated record.
CAAGAUCUCAUAGUGAGAGAAAACAAGUGCCUCCCCUGUGCUUUCAGACCACGAUUAGAAAGCUGUAGCAGGAAAAGUUAACUCUCUUCUUGAUUUCAUGUUGUUCAAGGAACAGGAGAACCCAGAAAUGAGUAGGGGGAAAAGCAAGACUAUCGAGCCCAGCCGAGCGAACCAACCACAGUUGUUGCGGUCUGUGUCGCCACCGAUGUGUAGUUACAUUUCUGGGGAGGUGCACAUC